Molecule: ribosomal RNA, 852 nt
Filed under: uncultured archaeon
Lineage: Archaea
Description: bacterial SSU rRNA
Rfam family: Archaeal small subunit ribosomal RNA
Source: RNAcentral
UCGGUUGAUCCUGCCGGACCUGACUGCUGUCGGAUUGAUACUAAGCCAUGCGAGUCAUUGUAGUAAUACAAGGCAGACGGCUCAGUAACGCGUAGUCAACCUACCCUAUGGAUGGGGAUAACCUCGGGAAACUGAGAAUAAUACCCGAUAGAACAUUAUUCCUGGAAUGGUUUAUGUUUCAAAUAAUUUAUUGCCGUAGGAUGGGACUGCGGCCUAUCAGUUUGUUGGUGAGGUAAUGGCCCACCAAGACUAUUACAGGUACGGGCUCUGAGAGGAGUAGCCCGGAGAUGGGUACUGAGACACGGACCCAGGCCCUAUGGGGCGCAGCAGGCGAGAAAACUUUGCAAUGUGCGAAAGCACGACAAGGUUAAUCCGAGUGGUUUCUGCUAAAGGAACCUUUUGUCAGUCCUAGAAACACUGAUGAAUAAGGGGUGGGCAAGUUCUGGUGUCAGCCGCCGCGGUAAAACCAGCACCUCAAGUGGUCAGGAUGAUUGUUGGGCCUAAAGCAUCCGUAGCCUGCUUUGUUAGUUUUCGGUUAAAUCCAUAUGCUCAACGUAUGGGCUGCCGGGAAUACUGCNNNCUAGGGAGUGGGAGAGGUAGACGGUACUCGGUAGGAAGGGGUAAAAUCCUUCGAUCUAUUGAUGACCACCUGUGGCGAANNCGGUCUACCAGAACACGUCCGACGGUGAGGGAUGAAAGCUGGGGGAGCAAACCGGANUAGAUACCCGGGUAGUCCCAGCUGUAAACUAUGCAAACUCGGUGAUGCAUUGGCUUGAUGCCAAUGCAGUGCCNCAGGGAAGCCNUUAAGUUUGCCGCCNGGGAANUACNUACGCAAGUAUGAAACUUAAAGGA